CAGCCGCCACGGUAAGACAGAGGAUGCAAGCGUUAUCCGGAAUGAUUGGGCGUAAAGCGUGCGUAGGCGGCUUUUUAAGUCGGAUGUGAAAUCCCUGAGCUUAACUUAGGAAUUGCAUUCGAUACUGGGAAGCUAGAGUAUGGGAGAGGAUGGUAGAAUUCCAGGUGUAGCGGUGAAAUGCGUAGAGAUCUGGAGGAAUACCGAUGGCGAAGGCAGCCAUCUGGCCUAAUACUGACGCUGAGGUACGAAAGCAUGGGGAGCAAACAGGAUUAGAUACCCCUGUAGUCCCUGUCUCUUAUAC
This 301-nucleotide ribosomal RNA is filed under the name uncultured bacterium. RNAcentral describes it as "partial 16S ribosomal RNA". It matches the Rfam family "Bacterial small subunit ribosomal RNA", at positions 509 to 807 of the family's 1533-position model. The record is from RNAcentral.